CAGCCGCCGCGGUAAUACCGAGGGUGCGAGCGUUAAUCGGAUUUACUGGGCGUAAAGCGUGCGUAGGCGGCUUCUUAAGUCGGAUGUGAAAUCCCUGAGCUUAACUUAGGAAUUGCAUUCGAUACUGGGAAGCUAGAGUAUGGGAGAGGAUGGUAGAAUUCCAGGUGUAGCGGUGAAAUGCGUAGAGAUCUGGAGGAAUACCGAUGGCGAAGGCGACUAUCUGGGCCAACACUGACACUGAGGCACGAAAGCGUGGGGAGCAAACAGGAUUAGAUACCCCUGUAGUCCCUGUCUCUUAUAC
This 301-nucleotide ribosomal RNA is filed under the name uncultured bacterium. RNAcentral's name for it is "partial 16S ribosomal RNA". It matches the Rfam family "Bacterial small subunit ribosomal RNA", at positions 509 to 807 of the family's 1533-position model. The record is from RNAcentral.